RNAcentral lists this small RNA (26 nucleotides) under Bombyx mori (domestic silkworm). RNAcentral describes it as "piRNA piR-bmo-1819711". Lineage: Eukaryota; Metazoa; Arthropoda; Insecta; Lepidoptera; Bombycidae. The record is from RNAcentral.
UAAUGUUACACGAAUGGGAAUUGUGC